This 253-nucleotide ribosomal RNA is filed under the name uncultured bacterium. RNAcentral describes it as "partial 16S ribosomal RNA". It matches the Rfam family "Bacterial small subunit ribosomal RNA", at positions 524 to 776 of the family's 1533-position model. The record is from RNAcentral.
UACGGAGGGGGCUAGCGUUGUUCGGAAUUACUGGGCGUAAAGCGCGCGUAGGCGGACCUGCAAGUCGGGGGUGAAAGCCCGAGGCUCAACCUCGGAACUGCCUUCGAUACUGCGGGUCUCGAGUCCGGGAGAGGUGAGUGGAAUUCCUAGUGUAGAGGUGAAAUUCGUAGAUAUUAGGAAGAACACCAGUGGCGAAGGCGGCGCACUGGCCCGGUACUGACGCUGAGGCGCGAAGGCCAGGGGAGCAAACGGG